RNAcentral lists this ribosomal RNA (790 nucleotides) under uncultured bacterium. RNAcentral describes it as "partial 16S ribosomal RNA". It matches the Rfam family "Bacterial small subunit ribosomal RNA", at positions 69 to 860 of the family's 1533-position model. The record is from RNAcentral.
GCUUGCUUCCCUUUGGGCGUUCACCCGGCGCCACGGGGGAUUAACGGGUUUCCACCCUUCCCCCAAGUAAGGGUUACCCCGUAGAAAUGCGCCUUAUCCCUUUUUUUUUUCUUUAGAGGGCCUUUUGAUGAGGACCAAAGAUCCGUCGCUUGGCGGUGGGGGAUGCUUUGGAUUAGUUAUUCGGCGGGUAACGCCCCCCCCGAGACGACGAUCAGUAGGGGGUUUGAGAGGAAAAUCCCCCCACAUGGAACUGAGACACGUUCAAACUCCUACGNGAGGCAGCAGUGAGGAAUAUUGGUCAAUGGCGGAAGCCUGAACCAGCCAAGUAGCGUGCAGGACGACGGCCCUAUGGGUUGUAAACUGCUUUUAUGCGGGGAUAAAGUGGGCCACGUGUGGUCUUUUGCAGGUACCGCAUGAAUAAGGACCGGCUAAUUCCGUGCCAGCAGCCGCGGUAAUACGGAAGGUCCGGGCGUUAUCCGGAUUUAUUGGGUUUAAAGGGAGCGCAGGCCGCCGGGCAAGCGUGUUGUGAAAUGCAGUCGCUCAACGUCUGCACUGCAGCGCGAACUGCCCAGCUUGAGUGCGCGCAACGUUGGCGGAAUUCGCCGUGUAGCGGUGAAAUGCUUAGAUAUGGCGAAGAACUCCGAUUGCGAAGGCAGCUGACGGGUGCGUAACUGACGCUCAUGCUCGAAAGUGCGGGUAUCGAACAGGAUUAGAUACCCUGGUAGUCCGCACGGUAAACGAUGGAUGCCCGCUAUUCGGCCCUUGUGGUUGAGUGGCCAAGCGAAAGCGU